GCGUCUCACAUGAGCCACCUCCUCCCAGGCUCGAGACGUGUAAAUGGACAAGGCAUCCUCCUCCCAGUCUUGUCCAAAGAAACGUCGCUCACCAGCACCUCCUCCCGCUGGUGAGCGUCCGU
RNAcentral lists this small RNA (122 nucleotides) under Roseibium suaedae. RNAcentral describes it as "Labrenzia sp. YC6927 Alphaproteobacterial ar14". It matches the Rfam family "Alphaproteobacterial ar14". From Rfam's summary of the family: Smr14C2 was renamed NfeR1 (Nodule Formation Efficiency RNA) highly expressed in salt stress and during the symbiotic interaction on legume roots. The record is from Rfam by way of RNAcentral. Lineage: Bacteria; Pseudomonadati; Pseudomonadota; Alphaproteobacteria; Hyphomicrobiales; Stappiaceae.